CCUACGGGGAGCAGCAGUGAGGAAUAUUGGUCAAUGGGCGCGAGCCUGAACCAGCCAAGUAGCGUGAAGGAUGACUGCCCUACGGGUUGUAAACUUCUUUUAUAAAGGAAUAAAGUGAGGCACGUGUGCCUUUUUGCAUGUACUUUAUGAAUAAGGAUCGGCUAACUCCGUGCCAGCAGCCGCGGUGAUACGGAGGAUCCGAGCGUUAUCCGGAUUUAUUGGGUUUAAAGGGAGCGUAGGCGGGUUGUUAAGUCAGUUGUGAAAGUUUGCGGCUCAACCGUAAAAUUGCAAUUGAUACUGGCAGCCUUGAGUACGGUUGAGGUAGGCUGAAUUCGUGGUGUAGCGGUGAAAUGCUUAGAUAUCACGAAGAACUCCGAUUGCGAAGGCAGCUUACUAAACUGCCACUGACGUUGAGGCUCGAAGGUGUGGGUAUCGAACAGGAUUAGAUACCCUAGUAGUC
RNAcentral lists this ribosomal RNA (460 nucleotides) under uncultured bacterium. Its description in RNAcentral is "partial 16S ribosomal RNA". It matches the Rfam family "Bacterial small subunit ribosomal RNA", at positions 338 to 795 of the family's 1533-position model. The record is from RNAcentral.